AACGAACGCUGGCGGCAGGCCUAACACAUGCAAGUCGAACGCCCUGGCAACAGGGAGUGGCAGACGGGUGCGUAACGCGUGGGAACAUGCCCUUUGGUUCGGAAUAACUCAGGGAAACUUGAGCUAAUACCGGAUAAGCCCGAGAGGGGAAAGAUUUAUCGCCGAAGGAUUGGCCCGCGUCUGAUUAGCUAGUUGGUGAGGUAAUGGCUCACCAAGGCGACGAUCAGUAGCUGGUCUGAGAGGAUGAUCA
Molecule: ribosomal RNA, 250 nt
Filed under: uncultured bacterium
Lineage: Bacteria
Description: partial 16S ribosomal RNA
Rfam family: Bacterial small subunit ribosomal RNA
Source: RNAcentral